UAUUAUGGCUGAGGUUUCUUCCGAUAAUGAUGAUUGAUACAUGGUCUACGCGAGACCCCAUGGAUUCCAGUCUGAGGAUCUAAGUCCAGUACCAACCGCUCUUAGCAUUUCUGUGGAUCGGAUCGAGCUUCCGGACGUGUGAGAGGUACAAAAACUCGUGUAUAUUGUAACCCUUCUUUCUUUGCGUCCCACGAUAGGCCGAACAUUAUAUCAAAUGCAACUUUACUACUUCUUUCAACUCAUCCCGGGCCGGCUAUGGAUAUGUAUAAUUCCACGCAUGAGGAGACGAUUUCGUACUUGAGGUACAGAUGUUCAUUUCGAAGACCCGCUAGCUCAGGAUUUCUGCUCAGCUAUGUUGGAAGUGCUUCACUAUUUCGUAGCCUAGGUUUUUUUGUAUUGGUCCUCCUGUGUAUAUAUUUAUUUGUUCAGAGGUACGGCGGAGUCCCUGUCCCAUCAUAUGUGGUCGUUACUAUUCUUAGAGGUCUGUAGACAUAUGUAUGUGGGUUGUUUAUGAGUUUAUUUCAGUUGUGCCUAUAUGG
Long non-coding RNA from Solanum dulcamara, 539 nucleotides. RefSeq lists it as uncharacterized. The record is from RefSeq and is a predicted model, not a curated record. The transcript is spliced from 4 exons. Lineage: Eukaryota; Viridiplantae; Streptophyta; Magnoliopsida; Solanales; Solanaceae.